Molecule: small nuclear RNA, 103 nt
Organism: Callithrix jacchus (white-tufted-ear marmoset)
Lineage: Eukaryota; Metazoa; Chordata; Mammalia; Primates; Cebidae
Source: Ensembl
GUGCUCGCUGAGGAGCACAUACACUAAAGUUGGAAUGAUACAGAGAUUAGCACGGCCCCUGCGCAAGGAUCACAUGUAAAUUCAUAAACUGUUCCAUUUUUUU